RNAcentral lists this ribosomal RNA (516 nucleotides) under uncultured bacterium. Its description in RNAcentral is "partial 16S ribosomal RNA". The record is from RNAcentral.
GUAGUUAGCCGGGGCUUCCUCCCAUGGUACCGUCAUUUCUUUCUUCCCAUAGGACAGAUGUUUACAAUCCGAAGACCUUCUUCCUUCACGCGGCGUUGCUGGGUCAGGCUUGCGCCCAUUGCCCAAUAUUCCCCACUGCUGCCUCCCGUAGGAGUCUGGACCGUGUCUCAGUUCCAGUGUGGCCGAUCACCCUCUCAGGUCGGCUACCCAUCGCCGUCUUGGUGAGCCAUUACCUCACCAACUAACUAAUGGGACGCGAGCUCAUCUUAAAGCGGAUUUCUCCUUUCACCUCUCUGUCAUGCGACAGUGUGGUCAUAUGCGGUAUUAGCAGUCGUUUCCAACUGUUGUCCCCCUCUUUAAAGGCAGAUUGCUCACGCGUUACUCACCCGUCCGCCACUAAGCAUGUUAAUCUUCCGUCCGAAAACUUCCGUCUAACAGCUUCGUUCGACUUGCAUGUGUUAAGACACGCCGCCACGCGUUCGUCCUCGAGCCGACGGAGUACAAACUACCUACGUA